UCCGUAGGUGUAAACCUGCGGAAAGGAUCAUUA
Molecule: ribosomal RNA, 33 nt
Filed under: Hyphopichia burtonii
Lineage: Eukaryota; Fungi; Ascomycota; Pichiomycetes; Serinales; Debaryomycetaceae
Description: partial 18S ribosomal RNA
Source: RNAcentral